GAUGAACGCUGGCGGCGUGCCUAAUACAUGCAAGUCGAGCGAACAGAUGAGGAGCUUGCUUCUCUGACGUUAGCGGCGGACGGGUGAGUAACACGUGGAUAACCUACCUAUAAGACUGGGAUAACUUCGGGAAACCGGAGCUAAUACCGGAUAAUAUAUUGAACCGCAUGGUUCAAUAGUGAAAGACGGUUUUGCUGUCACUUAUAGAUGGAUCCGCGCUGCAUUAGCUAGUUGGUAAGGUAACGGCUUACCAAGGCAACGAUGCAUAGCCGACCUGAGAGGGGGAUCGGCCACACUGGCACUGAGACACGGUCCAGACUCCUACGGGAGGCCGCAGUAGGGAAUCUUCCGCAAUGGGCGAAAGCCUGACGGAGCAACGCCGCGUGAGUGAUGAAGGUCUUCGGAUCGUAAAACUCUGUUAUUAGGGAAGAACAUAUGUGUAAGUAACUGUGCACAUCUUGACGGUACCUAAUCAGAAAGCCACGGCUAACUACGUG
RNAcentral lists this ribosomal RNA (497 nucleotides) under uncultured bacterium. RNAcentral's name for it is "partial 16S ribosomal RNA". It matches the Rfam family "Bacterial small subunit ribosomal RNA", at positions 28 to 507 of the family's 1533-position model. The record is from RNAcentral.